CCCCCACCUCAGUGCACACUACCCCUCUCUUGGUGUCUCCUCCUCAACCCUCUUACCACCCUCCUCCACCCAGACCCCCCCACCCCCCUCACCCUGCCUCAUCCCUCCCUCUCACCCUGCCUCACCUCCAUCUCACCACUCCUUUCCACCCCCUUCCUUCCUCAUCACACUGCUCCAGGCACCUUCUCAGCCCUCUGCACCCUGCCCCAUCUGUGCUGCUUCCCUUCACACCACACCCCUGCCCACCCCACGCCCAUCCAGUGUCCCUGGCCCUGUGCACCUGCCCUGGCUUUGGGGAGUGCAGCGUCUGCGGUGACGAUGAUGCCAGGCCAUUGACUUCACUCCUCUUUCCAGGUUUGCAGGAACAGCUGUCUCCGUUUCACUCGUGUUCAAAGAACUCGUGGCAGGCAGUGGUAACCAUGGCGACGAAGGCCAUAAAUUCCUGGAAAUCACAUUCGCCAUCUCCAUCAUUGUCCAGAGUUUCCAUGACUUUGUCCACCACCUCCUGCUCCUUGAUUUCCUAGGAGAUAGAAGAGACAUUGCCCAUCUUGGUUUUAAAUGAAGUUUAGCGCCAUCAAACCAUGAUUAAUCGUUGGCUCACCUUAAUAAUUUGUAUCAGAAGCAACUUAAGAUGUAAAAUGCAAAAUACCAGAACGCUUUUUCCUGUGACCAGGGGGCUCUUGGCUGGGCAGAAGUCUCUGGGGGUCCGGGCCUUCUCUUCCACCUUACUUUGAGUCUGCUGGGCCCCAGGCUACUUGAAAAGACUCAAUGGAACAACCAGGUUCGAAAAACUGCAGCUUGUGCUCCACUAUACUUAAAACACACGUUCUAAAUAAGCCCGAGCGUGUUGUAAGCAAACAUCUUGGAAGAAAAAAUGAACUUUUGGUUCCGCCCAAGGUUUUCACUGUUUCUGCGUGUGGAAGUCCUUAUUUGUUAACUCCUUGUGUUCUUUUUGCCAUUUGAAUUGCUUUCUGGCAUCAUGGGACUUUUCCGAGGACUCUGCUGCCCAACCCUGAAACCCAGUAAGUGGUGUGAGAGGAGCCAACGCUGUGCAGGGCUACACACGUGGUGGGAACGGCGGGGCACGAAGAGCAAAGAGCAUAAGUGCGCUGGUUCGGAAUGGCCGGGCCCCGGAGCAAGACAGCCCGCCCGGAAGCAGUCGCGUGUAGCUGGCUGGAUAUAAAAGCGUGAAGGACUGAUUCCAGUGGGGUUGGAUGGGACCUGGAAACAUCUGCCUCAGACAGAGGGGAGCAGUACACUCUUUCAAUCCCAUUAUAGAUUUGCCUCCAGCCUGGAAUUACCCUGACAAAACUAGGCCAACAAAUGUUCAUGACAUCUUGAUGUGCUUGCCAUGAACUAUGUAUCUUUUAUAAAUUGUGGUUCCCACAUGCUAAGUUUUUCCUGUUAUAAAAUUAAUAAUUAUUGGUAAGUACUUUCA
Molecule: long non-coding RNA, 1438 nt
Organism: Lynx canadensis (Canada lynx)
Lineage: Eukaryota; Metazoa; Chordata; Mammalia; Carnivora; Felidae
Exons: 2
Source: RefSeq, a predicted model, not a curated record